CAUGAGCUCGGUGAAAUUGUAGUUCCGGUGAAGAUGCCGGAUACCCGCAACGGGACGGAAAGACCCCGUGCACCUUCACUACAACUUAACAUUGAUAUUGGAUAAAUAAUGUGUAGGAUAGGUCGGAGACUUCGAUCUUGCUUCGCUAGGAGUAAGUUAGUCAACCUUGAAAUACGACCCUUUAUUUAUCUGAUACCUAAUCCCUAACGGGAAACAGUGUUUGGUGGGUAGUUUGACUGGGGUGGUCGCCUCCAAAAGAGUAACGGAGGCUUUCAAAGGUACCCUCAGCACGUUUGGUAAUCGUGCGUAGAGUGCAAUGGCAUAAGGGUGCUUGACUGUGAGACUUACAAGUCGACCAGGUACGAAAGUAGGACAUAGUGAUCCGGUGGUUCCGCAUGGAAGGGCCAUCGCUCAAAGGAUAAAAGGUACUCCGGGGAUAACAGGCUGAUCACUCCCAAGAGCUCACAUCGACGGAGUGGUUUGGCACCUCGAUGUCGGCUCGUCAUAUCCUGGGGCUGGAGAAGGUCCCAAGGGUUGGGCUGUUCGCCCAUUAAAAUGGCACGCGAGCUGGGUUCAGAACGUCGCGAGACAGUUCGGUCCCUAUCUGUUGUGGGCGUUAGAAGUUUGAGAGGACCUGACUCUAGUACGAGAGGACCGAGUUGGACAAACCUCUAGUGUACCUGUUGUGGCGCCAGCUGCAUCGCAGGGUAGCUAUGUUUGGAGGAGAUAAGUGCUGAAAGCAUCUAAGCACGAAACUCACCUCAAGAUGAGACUUCUUUUAAGGGUCGUUGAAGACUACGACGUUGAUAGGCUGCAAGUGUAAAGACAGUAAUGUCAAAGCUGAGCAGUACUAAUUACCCGUUAGCUUUUUUAUU
This 875-nucleotide ribosomal RNA is filed under the name Bacteroidales bacterium. Its description in RNAcentral is "partial 23S ribosomal RNA". It matches the Rfam family "Bacterial large subunit ribosomal RNA", at positions 2026 to 2925 of the family's 2925-position model. Lineage: Bacteria; Pseudomonadati; Bacteroidota; Bacteroidia; Bacteroidales. The record is from RNAcentral.